RNAcentral lists this ribosomal RNA (56 nucleotides) under Basidiobolus meristosporus. Its description in RNAcentral is "partial 28S ribosomal RNA". The record is from RNAcentral. Lineage: Eukaryota; Fungi; Basidiobolomycota; Basidiobolomycetes; Basidiobolales; Basidiobolaceae.
GCAGGAACGCGAGUCUUCGGACUUCAACUUCUGAUCUAAAUCANGAGAUGCAUCUU